GAAAUGCGAUAAGUAAUGUGAAUUGCAGAAUUCAGUGAAUCAUCGAAUCUUUGAACGCACCUUGCGCUCCUUGGUAUUCCAUGGAGCAUGCCUGUUUGAGUGUCACGUGAAUCUAUCACCUCCCUUCGGGGUUGCGUGGACUUGGGCGCUGCCGGCCGCUUGCGGUCGGCUCGUCUCGAAAUGCAUUAGCCUGCAGAGUGUUUGCUGGGCCUUUGGCGUGAUAGUACAUUUCGCCGCUGCGCUCUGGUGACGUCUGGCUCUGGGCUCACAAUGACGAGCGUCUCGCUCGAUUUCUUUUUACGCUCUGGCCUCAAAUCAGGUAGGACUACCCGCUGAACUUAA
RNAcentral lists this unclassified non-coding RNA (342 nucleotides) under uncultured Auriculariales. Its description in RNAcentral is "sequence contains ITS1". The stretch from base 1 to 105 matches the Rfam family "5.8S ribosomal RNA", at positions 50 to 154 of the family's 154-position model. The record is from RNAcentral. Lineage: Eukaryota; Fungi; Basidiomycota; Agaricomycetes; Auriculariales.